Homo sapiens (human) is the source of this 833-nucleotide long non-coding RNA. The record is from Ensembl. NCBI's taxonomy places the organism in Eukaryota, Metazoa, Chordata, Mammalia, Primates, Hominidae.
GUGGUGGAGCUAAUGACAUGUGUGCAGAAACUCUUCUGAAUGGGACUUCCCUGAUCCUGUUUUUACCUGAUCUUCAUGCUCAAUAGAAAAAGCCUCAGCUUUGGAAUCAGGGCCGUCCAGGUAGCAUGGCAUGGUACUGGAACACUAUGUCUUCUCUCUGACCUCUCGGAAUAUCUCUGUGAUUCAAUGUGUUGGCCCAUUGGAGGCCCUGGGGCAAUGGCUGGCCAAGAUUACAAAUUAGUGACUGUUGAGGCUGGAAUCUGUACCGAGGUCAUGGGAACCCCCUGCACUGCCCCUUCUAAUCACCCUCCUGCUUGGACCCUGGGAGUAUGACAAAGAGUCAGAUAAGACAACUGAGGCUGAAGAUCACACAACCAGUAAAUGGAACAGCCAGAAAUCAAAUGUUAUAUAUUGGCCCUGAAGUGGGGAUAAAGCAGCUAAAAGAAAGUGUACUUUACAUUAAAUUUUAAGAUGGCUGAUUAAUUGCCGGCCUGCCUAGACGAAGCUGCAACAAGCCAGAUACUGUCAGCAUGCCAUCGGUUACCAUGGAAAUGCACAAGGUUCCUGUUUCUGACAAACCCUUGAAUACUGGAUAGAUUGUGCCAUAUGUAAAUAAGGCAAAUUAGUUUUCCUAUAUCUUCCAGACAAGGUUAGACGAAAAGAAAAUAUAUCUGUUUAAACAUACUCUCUAACCUCUUAGAUGUGACGAAUGAGAAAGAGGGGCUUCUUUCUUAGGAAACUAAACUCAGAUUGUUACAACUGAAAGGCACUUGGGGAAAAUGACCAAAAAAUGCAAAAUGCAUUGCCCAUUUAUAAGGAAGGACUUCAAAGUC